GGGGCGGGGGGGAGGGCGUUGACCACGGCCCUCUGAUGGGCUUGGGGGCGGAAGCGGCUUCCAUGCCCAUCGCGAGGCGCCGGUUCAGUCAGUCGGUGUCCAUCCGGACCACAGACCACAGACCCCUGCUUUGGAAAACAACAAGAUGCAGUUCGUAAACCCUUGCAAAGAUCUCUGAGGUCAGGUGACUGGCUUUGCAACCAAAAGCGAGUCAGGGAAUAAGAUCCUCCCCUGCUUAGGAGUUUUCUUUCCUGUCUGUCCCAGAGGCCAGAGAGCACCCGAGGGCGGUUUCCCAGGCAGCGGAAAGAGGAGGAGGACCAAGCCGAGCCGGGGGAAACCAAGCUUUCCUCCUGAAGUUUGGAUGCCUGCCCCUUGCACGUUGGUGCCCUUCCCCUUUCUUCCUACUGUCCCGGGAGUGGGCGCCCUCGCGCGCUUUCUGAUUCUGCAGCACUAAGCUCCUCGGAGACGGUGACAGCGUGGCAAACAGAAUCGGAAGCGUCCUUGGCCCACAGCCUGCGAUCCCAGCCUGCUCUCCAGAGAAGUGACAUCCGUCCGCUUUAAGCUGGGUGACCACCUGCAGCGACACCCUUUUGAAAGCGGUGCUCACUAAGUCGGUCCACUUCUUUUGGACGUCCUCCAGCACUUCCUGUCGGGCCUCGUCUUGUCGCUGCAGUUCUCCGAUCUGCUCCUCCUGCAGGCGCGAGGCGGCUUGCGCUCUCUCCAGCCGUCCCUGCAGCGACCUCAGCUUCCCUUCCAGACCGUCUGCCUUUUGCAUCCAUUCGGCCAGGACCACCUUCAGGUUGGCCAGGGCUCCGGCGUGCUGCUUCUCUGCUUCCCGGGAGGCGGACAGCUGGAGGGCAGUCUCCUCUUUCUGCUGGGUGACCGCAGUCAGUUGCUCCUGCAGGGACCCGAGCCGGGCAGCGGCCCGCUGGCUCGCCUUCUGCAUGGCGCGGGAAGAUGACAGGAGCCUCUCCUCUAGCGCCGUGACUUUCCUCCUGAGUUGAGCCGCUCUGUCUCCUGCCAGCCGCGCUGCCCGGAGAUGCGCGCGUCUUCGCAUUCUGAAGCCUGCGUCCGAGACCUCCCCAGCUCCUGGCCUAAGCGCGCUUCCUGGUCCCGCAAAAGGCGAACCUCCUCCCGCAGGGCGCAGUUUUCCACUCGUUCCUGUCUCAGCGCCAGCGCCGCCUCAUCUCUCUCGUGCUGAAAGAGAAUGCUCUUUUCCUGCAUGGAGGUCACUGCAUUGAGAAGCUGGCCUAAUUCCCCAGCCCGGCCCUGUUCUUUUUCUCUCAGGAGGCACUCAAAAGCCAGAGCCGCCUUCUUCACGGAGACGCAUUCGAAUUCCUUCUCCCUCAGCGUCACAGAGAGGCGCAUGUUCGUCUCUUGUAAGGCUUGGUUUUCGGCGUCCUUCUCCCUGGACCUUUCCAGCAGUUUUGCAUUUUCCUGUUUGACUUGGCACGCAUCCGCUUCCAGAUGGCCUAUCCUCUCCUUCAGGUUUGUCACCGCCUGCCUCAAAAGUUCGUUUUCGCUCGCUUGGGUCGUGAGGUCUUCCCUCAGAGAAAGGAAUUCCUCCCUCUGCGCCUCGAUUAAGAGCUCUUUGUCCUCCAGCGUGUUCUGCAAAGCCUCUUGUUUCUCCUUGAGCCGCUGAAUUUCGGAAUCCGUCUGUGCCUGCCGUUCCCUCUCCAGUUCCGAGGUGGCGGCCAUCGCCUCGGACAGUCUCUGAGUCUCCUCCUGGAGGCUUCUGAUGGCUGCGUCUUUUUCCUCCGUGGCUCGCCUUAAGGCUUCCAUCUCUGCUGGCGGCCCUUUCGAAGGCUCGCCCAGCGCCUCGGACUUAAUUGCCUCCUGAGAGCCGGCUGCCUCGCAAGUCCGCGACGAUGCGGCGG
This is a long non-coding RNA of Equus asinus (donkey), 1877 nucleotides long. NCBI's taxonomy places the organism in Eukaryota, Metazoa, Chordata, Mammalia, Perissodactyla, Equidae. The record is from Ensembl.